RNAcentral lists this ribosomal RNA (253 nucleotides) under uncultured bacterium. Its description in RNAcentral is "partial 16S ribosomal RNA". It matches the Rfam family "Bacterial small subunit ribosomal RNA", at positions 524 to 776 of the family's 1533-position model. The record is from RNAcentral.
UACAGAGGGUGCGAGCGUUAAUCGGAAUUACUGGGCGUAAAGCGCGCGUAGGCGGUUAUUUAAGUCAGAUGUGAAAUCCCAGGGCUCAACCUUGGAACUGCAUCUGAUACUGGGUAACUAGAGUUUGGGAGAGGGAAGUAGAAUUUCAGGUGUAGCGGUGAAAUGCAUAGAGAUCUGAAGGAAUACCAGUGGCGAAGGCGACUUCCUGGCCUAAAACUGACGCUGAGGUGCGAAAGCGUGGGUAGCAAACGGG